Molecule: ribosomal RNA, 580 nt
Filed under: uncultured bacterium
Lineage: Bacteria
Description: bacterial SSU rRNA
Rfam family: Bacterial small subunit ribosomal RNA
Source: RNAcentral
CCUACGGGAGGCAGCAGUGAGGAAUAUUGGUCAAUGGGCGCAAGCCUGAACCAGCCAUGUCGCGUGCAGGAAGACUGCCCUAUGGGUUGUAAACUGCUUUUAUAGUAGAAGAAACACAUCUACGUGUAGAUGUCUGCCAGUAUACUAUGAAUAAGCAUCGGCUAACUCCGUGCCAGCAGCCGCGGUAAUACGUAGGGGGCGAGCGUUGUCCGGAAUUACUGGGCGUAAAGGGCGUGUAGGCGGCCGAGCAAGUCAAGUGUGAAAAGCCCCGGCUUAACCGAGGCAUUGCACAUGAAACUGCAUGGCUUGAGUGCAGGAGAGGGAAGUGGAAUUCCUAGUGUAGCGGUGAAAUGCGUAGAUAUUAGGAGGAACACCAGUGGCGAAGGCGACUUCCUGGACUGUAACUGACGCUGAGGCGCGAAAGCGUGGGUAGCAAACAGGAUUAGAUACCCUGGUAGUCCACGCCGUAAACGAUGGGUACUAGGUGUGGGUAGUUCACACUAUCCGUGCCGCAGCAAACGCAAUAAGUACCCCGCCUGGGGAGUACGGCCGCAAGGUUGAAACUCAAAUGAAUUGACGG